GUUAGGAAUAUUGGACAAUGGGCGCAAGCCUGAUCCAGCCAUGCCGCGUGAGUGAUGAAGGCCUUCGGGUUGUAAAGCUCUUUAGCCGAUGAUUAUAAUGACUGUAGUCGGAAAAUAAGCCCCGGCUAACUUCGUGCCAGCAGCCGCGGUAAUACGAAGGGGGCGAGCGUUAUUCGGAAUCACUGGGCGUAAAGCGUGCGUAGGCGGUUUUGUAAGUUGGGAGUGAAAGCCCAGGGCUCAACCCUGGAAUUGCUCUCAAAACUACAAGACUUGAAUUCGGGAGAGGAUAGCGGAAUUGUCAGUGUAGCAGUGAAAUGCGUAGAUAUUGACAGGAACACCAGUGGCGUAAGCGGCUAUCUGGACCGACAUUGACGCUGAGGCACGAAAGCGUGGGGAUCAAACAGGAUUAGAUACCCUGGUAGUCC
This 425-nucleotide ribosomal RNA is filed under the name uncultured bacterium. Its description in RNAcentral is "partial 16S ribosomal RNA". It matches the Rfam family "Bacterial small subunit ribosomal RNA", at positions 354 to 796 of the family's 1533-position model. The record is from RNAcentral.